RNAcentral lists this ribosomal RNA (493 nucleotides) under uncultured bacterium. Its description in RNAcentral is "partial 16S ribosomal RNA". It matches the Rfam family "Bacterial small subunit ribosomal RNA", at positions 28 to 507 of the family's 1533-position model. The record is from RNAcentral.
GACGAACGCUGGCGGCGCGCUUAACACAUGCAAGUCGAACGGAAAGGCCUGCUUUCCCUUGUGGAUUGCGGGUACUCGAGUGGCGAACGGGUGAGUAACACGUGAGUGAUCUGCCCCCAACUUGGGUAUAAGCCUGGGAAACUGGGUCUAAUUCCGGAAAGACUGGCGGGGGGUUGCCGGGGUUGGAAAAGGAUUUCUAGGGGGUGGGGAUGAGCUCGCGGCCUAACAGCUUGGUGGUGGGGUAAUGGCCUACCAAGGCGGCGACGGGUAGCCGGCCUGAGAGGGUGGACGGCCACAUUGGGACUGAGAUACGGCCCAGACUCCUACGGGAGGCAGCAGUGGGGAAUAUUGCACAAUGGGCGGAAGCCUGAUGCAGCGACGCCGCGUGGGGGAUGACGGCCUUCGGGUUGUAAACUCCUUUCGACCGCGAGGAAGCCACCUGGUUGGAAGGGUGGUGACGGUAGUGGUAGAAGAAGCACCGGCUAACCACGUG